CGGGGCGUAGGCUAGCCCGGUUUAAGUCGCUCCGUUUGGGACGGAGAGAGCGCAGGUUCGAAUCCUGCCGCCCCGACCA
Molecule: transfer RNA, 79 nt
Filed under: compost metagenome
Description: tRNA-Pro
Rfam family: tRNA
About the family: Transfer RNA (tRNA) molecules are approximately 80 nucleotides in length. Their secondary structure includes four short double-helical elements and three loops (D, anti-codon, and T loops). Further hydrogen bonds mediate the characteristic L-shaped molecular structure. tRNAs have two regions of fundamental functional importance: the anti-codon, which is responsible for specific mRNA codon recognition, and the 3' end, to which the tRNAs corresponding amino acid is attached (by aminoacyl-tRNA synthetases). tRNAs cope with the degeneracy of the genetic code in two manners: having more than one tRNA (with a specific anti-codon) for a particular amino acid; and 'wobble' base-pairing, i.e. permitting non-standard base-pairing at the 3rd anti-codon position.
Source: RNAcentral